GUCACCGUAGCUUAACUGGAUAAAGCAACGAUCUAGUAAAUCGUCACGCCACACGAAGGCAUUGAUAUCAGUUCAAGUCUGAUCGGUGGCA
Molecule: transfer RNA, 91 nt
Filed under: Candidatus Magasanikiibacteriota bacterium
Lineage: Bacteria; Candidatus Magasanikiibacteriota
Description: Candidatus Magasanikbacteria bacterium tRNA-Thr
Rfam family: tRNA
About the family: Transfer RNA (tRNA) molecules are approximately 80 nucleotides in length. Their secondary structure includes four short double-helical elements and three loops (D, anti-codon, and T loops).
Source: RNAcentral